CUGCCUCUGACAGACCUGGAGCAGUUGCUGUCUGCUGCUAAGGCUUCCACUACAGAUGCAAGAAAAAGGUUUUCACGCUUUCUAUGUGUCUGGUUGUGGCACCCAAGAUUGAAUGAGGGAAUCCAGGA
This 128-nucleotide small nucleolar RNA is filed under the name Dasypus novemcinctus (nine-banded armadillo). Its description in RNAcentral is "Small nucleolar RNA SNORA31 (ENSDNOG00000045874.1)". It matches the Rfam family "Small nucleolar RNA SNORA31". From Rfam's summary of the family: ACA31 (SNORA31) belongs to the H/ACA class of snoRNAs which are thought to guide the sites of modification of uridines to pseudouridines. ACA31 is predicted to guide the pseudouridylation of U3713 in 28S rRNA and U218 in 18S rRNA. This family includes the mouse homologue snoMBI-161. The record is from RNAcentral. Lineage: Eukaryota; Metazoa; Chordata; Mammalia; Cingulata; Dasypodidae.